RNAcentral lists this ribosomal RNA (497 nucleotides) under uncultured bacterium. RNAcentral describes it as "partial 16S ribosomal RNA". It matches the Rfam family "Bacterial small subunit ribosomal RNA", at positions 28 to 507 of the family's 1533-position model. The record is from RNAcentral.
GAUGAACGCUGGCGGCGUGCCUAAUACAUGCAAGUCGAGCGAACAGACGAGGAGCUUGCUCCUUUGACGUUAGCGGCGGACGGGUGAGUAACACGUGUAUAACCUACCUAUAAUACUGGGAUCACUUCGGGAAACCGGAUCUAAUACCAGAUAAUAUAUUGAACCGCAGGGUUCAAUAGUGAAAGACGGCUUUGCUGGCUCUUCUAGAUGCAUCCGCGCUGCAUUAGCUAGUUGUUAAGGUAACGGCUUACCAAGGCAACGAUGCGUAGCCGACCGGAGAGGCUGGUCGCCGACACUGGAACUGAGCCGCGGUCAAGACUCCUACGGGAGGCAGCAGUAGGGAAUGUUCGGCAAUAGGCGGAAGCCUGACACAGCAACGCCGCGUGUGUGAUGAAGGUCUUCGGAUCGUAAAGCUCUGUUAUUGGGGAAGAACAGAUGUGGACUUAGACAUGCACGUCUUGACGGUACCGAAUAAGAAAGCAACGGCUAACUACGUG